Molecule: ribosomal RNA, 507 nt
Filed under: uncultured bacterium
Lineage: Bacteria
Description: bacterial SSU rRNA
Rfam family: Bacterial small subunit ribosomal RNA
Source: RNAcentral
AUUCUGGCUCAGGAUGAACGCUAGCGGCAGGCUUAACACAUGCAAGUCGAGGGGCAUCGGGAGUAGCAAUACUGCCGGCGACCGGCGCAAGGGUGCGUAACGCGUGAGCAACAUGCCCGUAUCAGGGGGAUAAUCCAUGGAAACGUGGUCUAAUACCCCAUAGUAAUUAUGUAAGGCAUCUUAUAUAAUUUAAAGCUUUGGUGGAUACGGAUUGGCUCGCGUGACAUUAGCUAGAUGGUAAGGUAACGGCUUACCAUGGCUACGAUGUCUAGGGGUUCUGAGAGGAAGGUCCCCCACACUGGAACUGAGACACGGUCCAGACUCCUACGGGAGGCAGCAGUGAGGAAUAUUGGACAAUGGAUGGAAAUCUGAUCCAGCCAUGCCGCGUGCAAGGAAGACGGCCCUAUGGGUUGUAAACUGCUUUUGUAUGGGAGCAAUAAGGGCUACGCGUAGUCCGAUGAGAGUACCAUACGAAUAAGCACCGGCUAACUCCGUGCCAGCCGCCGC